Non-coding RNA from Paramuricea clavata, 73 nucleotides. NCBI's taxonomy places the organism in Eukaryota, Metazoa, Cnidaria, Anthozoa, Malacalcyonacea, Plexauridae. The record is from the annotation of a GenBank genome assembly.
GGCCGCGUAGCUCAGUUGGCAGAGCAUUGGGCUAGUAUUCCAAAGGUCGUAGGUUCGAUUCCCACCGUGGUCA